UACGUAGGUGGCGAGCGUUGUUCGGAUUUAUUGGGCGUAAAGGGUCUGUAGGAGGUUUGCUAAGUGCGGGGUGAAAUCCGGGAGCUCAACUCCCGAACUGCCUUGCAGACUGGCAGACUAGAGUGCUGAAGAGGUAAGCGGAAUACCAAGUGUAGCGGUGGAAUGCGUAGAUAUUUGGUAGAACACCAACAGCGAAGGCAGCUUACUGGUCGGCAACUGACUCUCAGAGACGAAAGCGUGGGGAG
This 245-nucleotide ribosomal RNA is filed under the name uncultured Victivallis sp. RNAcentral describes it as "partial 16S ribosomal RNA". It matches the Rfam family "Bacterial small subunit ribosomal RNA", at positions 524 to 768 of the family's 1533-position model. The record is from RNAcentral. Lineage: Bacteria; Pseudomonadati; Lentisphaerota; Lentisphaeria; Victivallales; Victivallaceae.